Amblyraja radiata (thorny skate) is the source of this 193-nucleotide long non-coding RNA. RefSeq lists it as uncharacterized. The transcript is spliced from 3 exons. NCBI's taxonomy places the organism in Eukaryota, Metazoa, Chordata, Chondrichthyes, Rajiformes, Rajidae. The record is from RefSeq and is a predicted model, not a curated record.
AAAAUCUUUAGGCCUUUUAAGAAUGAAAAUGGCAAGAAUUCCAAAAGAAAGCCUGUCAUAAAGGUCACGUCAUAUACAGGGGAGGACAAAAGAGAUUUGGGAGGAGCCACUGAAGAAACAAAGGAAGGCACAGUGUUGGUUAAAAGAAUCAAAAGAGCAACAGUUGUCUCCACCAGAAAGACUUUGGGAUCUG